GACGAACGCUGGCGGCGCGCUUCAAACAUGCAAGUCGAACGUGAAGCCCGGAGCUUGCUCUGGGUGGAAAGUGGCGAACGGGUGAGGAACACGUGAGGAACCUGCCCCGAAGACCGGGAUAACUCCGGGAAACCGGAGCUAAUACCGGAUGCCCUCACCGGACCGCAUGAUCCGGUGAGGAAAUGGAUUCCGCUUCGGGAUGGUCUCGCGCACUAUCAGCUUGUUGGUGAGGUAAUGGCUCAUCAAGGCUA
Molecule: ribosomal RNA, 251 nt
Filed under: uncultured Actinomycetes bacterium
Lineage: Bacteria; Bacillati; Actinomycetota; Actinomycetes
Description: uncultured actinobacterium partial 16S ribosomal RNA
Rfam family: Bacterial small subunit ribosomal RNA
Source: RNAcentral